RNAcentral lists this ribosomal RNA (218 nucleotides) under uncultured bacterium. Its description in RNAcentral is "partial 16S ribosomal RNA". It matches the Rfam family "Bacterial small subunit ribosomal RNA", at positions 116 to 334 of the family's 1533-position model. The record is from RNAcentral.
CGUAUGCAACUUGCCUAUCAGAGGGGGACGUACCGGCAAAGUCGGACUAAUACCGCAUGAAGCAGGGGUCCCGCAUGGGGAUAUUUGCUAAAGAUUCAUCGCUGAUAGAUAGGCAUGCGUUCCAUUAGGCAGUUGGCGGGGUAACGGCCCACCAAACCGACGAUGGAUAGGGGUUCUGAGAGGAAGGUCCCCCACAUUGGUACUGAGACACGGACCAA